This 485-nucleotide ribosomal RNA is filed under the name uncultured bacterium. Its description in RNAcentral is "bacterial SSU rRNA". It matches the Rfam family "Bacterial small subunit ribosomal RNA", at positions 29 to 533 of the family's 1533-position model. The record is from RNAcentral.
AACGAACGCUGGCGGCAGGCUUAACACAUGCAAGUCGAACGAAGGCUUCGGCCUUAGUGGCGCACGGGUGCGUAACGCGUGGGAAUCUGCCCUUGGGUUCGGAAUAACUCAGAGAAAUUUGAGCUAAUACCGAAUGAUGUCGAAAGACCAAAGAUUUAUCGCCCAAGGAUGAGCCCGCGUAGGAUUAGCUUGUUGGUGAGGUAAAGGCUCACCAAGGCGACGAUCCUUAGCUGGUCUGAGAGGAUGAUCAGCCACACUGGGACUGAGACACGGCCCAGACUCCUACGGGAGGCAGCAGUGGGGAAUAUUGGACAAUGGGCGAAAGCCUGAUCCAGCAAUGCCGCGUGAGUGAUGAAGGCCUUAGGGUUGUAAAGCACUUUAAGCGAGGAGGAAGGUCUUUGUAACUAAUAUUUCAAAGAAUUGACGUUACUCGCAGAAUAAGCACCGGCUAACUCUGUGCCAGCAGCCGCGGUAAAGUACAGUGU